This 301-nucleotide ribosomal RNA is filed under the name uncultured bacterium. Its description in RNAcentral is "partial 16S ribosomal RNA". It matches the Rfam family "Bacterial small subunit ribosomal RNA", at positions 509 to 807 of the family's 1533-position model. The record is from RNAcentral.
CAGUCGCCGCGGGAAUACGUAGGUUGCAAGCGUUAACCGGAAUUACUGGGCGUAAAGCGUGCGCAGGCGGUUAUAUAAGUCAGAUGUGAAAUCCCCGGGCUCAACCUGGGACCUGCAUUUGUGACUGUAUAGCUAGAGUACGGUAGAGGGGGAUGGAAUUCCGCGUGUAGCAGUGAAAUGCGUAGAUAUGCGGAGGAACACCGAUGGCGAAGGCGGCCCCCUGGACAAAGACUGACGCUCAGGUGCGAAAGCGUGGGGAGCAAACAGGAUUAGAUACCCCAGUAGUCCCUGUCUCUUAUAC